CAGUAGCCGCGGGAAUACGGAGGGUGCUAGCGUUGUUCGGAAUCACUGGGCGUAAAGGGCGCGUAGGCGGCCUGUUAAGUCGGAUGUGAAAGCCCGGGGCUCAACCCCGGAACUGCAUCCGAGACUGGCAGGCUUGAGACCGGGAGAGGAGGGUGGAAUAUCCAGUGUAGAGGUGAAAUUCGUAGAUAUUGGAUGGAACACCGGUGGCGAAAGCGGCUCUCUGGCCCGGAUCUGACGCUGAGGCGCGAAAGCGUGGGGAGCAAACAGGAUUAGAUACCCCAGUAGUCCCUGUCUCUUAUAC
Molecule: ribosomal RNA, 301 nt
Filed under: uncultured bacterium
Lineage: Bacteria
Description: partial 16S ribosomal RNA
Rfam family: Bacterial small subunit ribosomal RNA
Source: RNAcentral